UACGAAGGGGGCUAGCGUUGUUCGGAAUCACUGGGCGUAAAGGGCGCGUAGGCGGCCAAUCAAGUCGGGGGUGAAAGCCUGUGGCUUAACCACAGAAUUGCCUUCGAUACUGUUUGGCUUGAGACCGGAAGAGGUAAGUGGAACUGCGAGUGUAGAGGUGAAAUUCGUAGAUAUUCGCAAGAACACCAGUGGCGAAGGCGGCUUACUGGUCCGGUUCUGACGCUGAGGCGCGAAAGCGUGGGGAUCAAACA
RNAcentral lists this ribosomal RNA (251 nucleotides) under uncultured Microvirga sp. RNAcentral describes it as "partial 16S ribosomal RNA". It matches the Rfam family "Bacterial small subunit ribosomal RNA", at positions 524 to 774 of the family's 1533-position model. The record is from RNAcentral. Lineage: Bacteria; Pseudomonadati; Pseudomonadota; Alphaproteobacteria; Hyphomicrobiales; Methylobacteriaceae.